Molecule: non-coding RNA, 29 nt
Filed under: Mus musculus (house mouse)
Lineage: Eukaryota; Metazoa; Chordata; Mammalia; Rodentia; Muridae
Source: RNAcentral
UGUGGAUCUACUGUUUUCUGGUGCUCUGC